AAAAUUAUAAAAAAAAAAAAAAAAAAAAGAUAAUAAACAAAGUGAUGGCUUGACCGUUGAAACACAGAAAAAUCUAAAUCUAAGUGUUUGGAUAGUUAUAAACUAUUUUAACAUUACUUUGAAUGUGUGCUAUAUUUUUGAUUAUAAAUAUAUUUUUUUGGUUUCACUAGUUACAUAAGAUAUCUAACAUAUGCAUUUAGUACAUAAAAAGAAAAAAAGUUGUAUGUUCUGUCCAAUUAGUCUGUCUUCCUGCCUGCCUGCAUAUUUGCGUUUGUUUUUUUUUCACUUAUAUAUAUACAUCAACUUUAAAAAAAACUAUACUAUUUGUGUAAAGAGUUUAUUUUAUUUUUUUUUUGAGGAGACCUAUUUUUUUAAAAAAUGAAAGAUGUUCGAAAAGAGAUAAAUCAUAUAAAAGAAUUUAUUGACACAUUUUGUUUUGCAAAAAAUGUAAAGAUAGUUACUGAUGAAUCAGUUCUAAAAAAAAUUAACAAAACAUCUAAAGAAAAUAACACAAGUGUAGUUAAUUUGUAUUCUUCGUAUGCUUUAUGGCUGUGUAUGAAUGAAAUAUAUCCAGCAUGGUUUGAUCUUUCGAUUCAUCCUGCUCAGUUUGAUUUUGAAGCGGACGCCACCGAGUGUUUAAUCAAGUAUUUGAAUGAGUACCAUGAAAAAAAAUAUGAUAAAAUAAUAAAUAACGCGUUAAUAAAUAUUAACACCCUAACAGUAAGCCAUUUUAUUGAUAUAUACAAUUUAGUCAUACUAGCAGCUUUAGUAUCGGAUGAUAAACAAAGACAUAUAACUAAUAUUUUAUCACUUAAACAUGAAACACAAAAAUAUAUACACAAAAUUAUAGAAUAUUUAGAAAAAGAGAAAAAUCUAAAUCAGGAUAAUAAAUUAUUAACACAUAAUAAUUCUGAAAUUAGUAAGACAAAAAAAAAUUGCACAUAA
Piliocolobus tephrosceles (Ugandan red Colobus) is the source of this 945-nucleotide long non-coding RNA. The record is from Ensembl. NCBI's taxonomy places the organism in Eukaryota, Metazoa, Chordata, Mammalia, Primates, Cercopithecidae.